Molecule: ribosomal RNA, 307 nt
Filed under: uncultured bacterium
Lineage: Bacteria
Description: partial 16S ribosomal RNA
Rfam family: Bacterial small subunit ribosomal RNA
Source: RNAcentral
AGACAGCAGUAGCCGCGGUAAUACGUAGGGUGCAAGCGUUAAUCGGAAUUACUGGGCGUAAAGCGUGCGCAGGCGGUUUGUUAAGACAGAUGUGAAAUCCCCGGGCUCAACCUGGGAACUGCAUUUGUGACUGGCAAGCUAGAGUGUGGCAGAGGGGGGUGGAAUUCCGCGUGUAGCAGUGAAAUGCGUAGAUAUGCGGAGGAACACCGAUGGCGAAGGCAGCCCCCUGGGCCAACACUGACGCUCAUGCACGAAAGCGUGGGGAGCAAACAGGAUUAGAUACCCGCGUAGUCCCUGUCUCUUAUAC